GCAUAAAGCCGAUGCUAGGCGUCAGGUGUUCUACACUCUCCUCUCUGUUUUGGUCAUUUGACAUGUGGACGCAGAAACAAUAACAAUGCAUGAAUAUCUGAUUGGUGCUGAUCUCCAGUGCAAUUUCUCAAAAGUAAACUAUCAAAUAAUACAGGAGAAAUCAAAUAAGAUGAUACAAAUUUACAAAAAUAAAUAUUUAUUAAUUCGAGCAAUGUGAAAUAAAGCAAUCAAAUAAGUACAGUACAGCACACAGAAUGAAAAAUGUUAAAGUGUAACAACAGAAAUAAAACCAAAUCAAAAGCCACAUGAGUACAUAACCACAAGUACGUAUGUAUUCAAAAAGUAUAUGUACAUGUGAUGAUAUGCAUAUGUAUAAUUCUGAUAUGAGCUGUAUACAGUGUACAGUGAAGCUUGUUUAUGUAAGACAAACGCCAGGUGAUACGUAAAUACGUAAUCAAUAUACGCUUCAACUGAAAUACAAUUCAAUAUCAACUGUACAUUUACACACACACACACUUGCUGGCAUAAGCAAAAAGAGGUCGCGCUCGUGUGCACCCAACAACAGCAGCAACGGCAACGGCAACAGCAGCAGCAAACAUUGCCAGCAAGAGCAAGAGCCAGUCAGGCUGCCCCGUCAUUUGGCGCUCUCGUUUGCGCUCGCUCUAACACAUUUGAAUUAAAAGUUGGCGCAACUUUUGCUCCCCUCUUCACUCAUACAUGCGCCUGCUCUCGCACUCUCUCGCUCUUCGGCACUCACUUGAAAGCUUAUACAUUUGUAUAACAAGACGAGGCACAGGGGCAAGGGAGACAAUAUGACAACGUCAGCGUUAGCGCAAAAGAGUGCGCAACUCAUUCUACUCAAUUGACAAUAGAAAACUUACACGGAAAUCUCUGGCGAACUAAAAUGACGAGAAAGUAGGAGACGCACCGCAGUCUCAUGCUGCUCCUGAGCAUUGGCCCAGAGCGACAACUGUGUUUAAGCCAGGAGCAGAGCGCGAAUGCACAUUUCUUAACUCACACAUAUACACGAGCACUCAAAUACUAAUGUAUGCAUGUAUGUAGCUUACAUUCACAUUGUGUUGGGGAGUCAAAACCGUUUCACAAAUUCAAACACACUCGCACGCACGCACAAACACAUAAUAACCUAUUUGGCAAGUCGGACGACGAUUUUGAUUUCUCUGUUUACAAACUGUACGCGCAAAAACACAUGCCAACGAAACGUCGUCGCUGUUGAGGUUAUGUUUAGAAAAGCUCUCGCCGCGUACUCACCUUUAGCAGGUCCAACAGAAAUGGAGAAGCCGCACAGAGCACGAUUUUGUGGGCUGGAAAACUGCGUCCGCCGGCAGCCAGGGUGCAAUCGACCAGGUCGCCAUGGCAGCGCAACAAUUGUAUGGCCGAUACCAGAGAUGUUCCAUAAUCACCCCAGGUGAGCGAGUACAGCGAAUUCAUUGGCAACGACAUUAGGGCUGUCGUGUCCAAAUCCAACAGUUGUUCUCCAGCGUUGUAGUUAUAUUGAUUGCUGUUUGUGGCCAACACGACGAGGCUGUUAUUCUUGCAACGUUCUAACAAGAAAUUUCAUCUAAAUGGCAGCGUCAAAUAGUUGAUGCUGCUGCUCCACUGCUCAACUGCUCAACUGCUCCACGUUCACGAGCUUUCACAACGACUGAAUGGCGCGCUGCUUCUUAUCGUUGCCCCCUACAAAAAACAAAAAAAAAGAGUAAAGAGCAUAAGCAGAUGGAAGA
Molecule: long non-coding RNA, 1742 nt
Organism: Drosophila mojavensis
Lineage: Eukaryota; Metazoa; Arthropoda; Insecta; Diptera; Drosophilidae
Exons: 2
Source: RefSeq, a predicted model, not a curated record